UGGUCAGGUUUCCAGGUGUAGGGCAAAAGCUUUGGCUGGUCAGGUGUCAGGUUUUAAUGUGAUGAGCAACUGUUGCUUUUCCUGGGUGUGUAAAUGUGUAGGGAACACACAAUAUCGGUGAAUGAAGGUAAUGCAAAAUGUAAUCUUAUCCCCCAAUGAGUUGCAGCUGGAACCAAUUACUGAAGAUUAGGAACAGGUCUGCUCUUAACAGGCCACACCUGUAGCCAAUAAGAACUAGUGGCAUAAAAGAGUGGAUUGGUGGGAACUGGAGUCAGAUGGCUGCUGCAAGGACUAGGAACAGUCAGUGCUUAGAGGAGCUGCCUGCGAGAAACAUUGAGGAGAGCUGAUCUGGUGUGGGCUGUUUGAGCAGCUCAGUGCUGACAGGGACCAAAUCCAGUGACCAGGACCGACCCUAUGGAGUCACCCUGGUGAAACAGCACAGAAUGCAGACAAUCCCCUGCACACAAGGAAACAGCCCCAGUGAUCACAGACUGAGUUUUCAUGUAGUUGGACUUGGUGGUGUGUGAGCAAAUGAAAGAGCAGCUUCAUGCCUUAUGAAAUAACAAAUAGUAAAUCAGCUACUAAUACAAUUCACAGAGGCUGCUAAAAGGCUGCUGGAGGUCACAAAAACAGCAACCUUUUGAGGUGAUGAGAUGGGAGCUUCUUAAGUCAACACAUGCAGUUGGCUUCUCCCUGGCAGUGCUCCACUGUGGGGCAGGAUCCAGGCUCUGAUGCCUUCCCCCUCUGGCAGAUGCUGUGAGUGUGUGAAUGUCCUCUCUAAUUCCAGAUUAGCCACAAAGAGGAGUCAUCAUCCUUAAGGAGCAGGCAUGCUUGGAAAGGAAAGGCUGUCUGGAGGCUGCAGGGCACAGCACUAUCCUCAGGUGCUUUGAGAUGUCUGAGCAAGGUUCCUAGCACUAAAGGAGGAGAGGGAAAAAAUGUGCUUUUCAUGCUGAGGGCUGCGUGCCACUGGAACUCAGCUUCCCUGCUAGCCCAGGAUUUCUCAAGCUUGGCUUAAUAAAAUCCAGAUCUCAUCUAAUGAGUUCAGAGGAUGCUUCAGAAUGUCUCAACGCGGAAAGUGCUGAUUUUGCACACCAAGCCAAGGAAGGUUUAUGGCACUAAAAGACUCUCCAAAGUCUUUAUCCUCCCUGACUUGAAGGAGAAAAAGCACCCUGGGCUGUUAGCAGCACCUCUGCUCCUCCUGCAGCACAUUGUGACUUGGCUUUUAUUGCAACUGUGCCUGUCCUCGUGUCACAACCUCUCUGCCAGUGCUCCAGCUCUGCCAUGGCAUUCCUGGGCAUUUCACCUGGGCCUGCCUUUGCCCAAAUCAAGGGAAUCAAACCCAUGGGCACUGCUUUAACCCACACAGGGGUGGCUUCUCUGCUUUCUUCUGGAUUUUUGUCUCUCUCGUGGUCACUCAGUUGUUGGCUUUAAAUGACAGUUUCUACGAAGAAUACAUCUGGAAAGGCAGAGUGGCAGCUCUGAGCUGUUAUAGCUGACCAUUAAAAGUGCAACAUCUCCUCCACCAUGCAGGGCUUUAGGUUCAAGCCUGCAGAGGAAAAGGAGUUACUUCCAAAGCCCUGAAUCCCUUUAAAUAAAUAUCAGCCAGCAUUUGCCUUGCAGUCAGCACGGGCUGAGGUGAACCAAGCAGUGGCAGCAAUGCU
Molecule: non-coding RNA, 1661 nt
Organism: Zonotrichia albicollis (white-throated sparrow)
Lineage: Eukaryota; Metazoa; Chordata; Aves; Passeriformes; Passerellidae
Source: RefSeq, a predicted model, not a curated record